Molecule: long non-coding RNA, 29923 nt
Filed under: Nicotiana benthamiana
Lineage: Eukaryota; Viridiplantae; Streptophyta; Magnoliopsida; Solanales; Solanaceae
Description: long non-coding RNA (NBEN_LNC034715)
Source: RNAcentral
AAAAAAUAGGAUCGAUUGGAGGUCGUCCGCUGGCGGUGGCGAUUUUCGACCGAUGACAUAGGGGCGGCGGGAGGCGGAUGGUUCUUGUGAGAGAGGAGAGAAUGAAGAGAGGAGUGAAAUAGAUAAUAGGGCAAAAUAAGGGAAAUUGUAGCUUCUUUAGGUGUUAAAUACUAAGAAUAAAGAUCAAAUUUGACCCCUUGGAUCAAGCGGCAAUGAAUUGAUGAGAUUAAAAUCUUUGUCACUUAACUAAAACAAUGUAAUUUUGAUAUAAAACUAUGUCGUUUUGACCCUCCAAUGGCAUCCCCAUUUGGGACCGGAUUUGGCCUCUUUGGGAUUCUAGUUUUGGGUCCAUUUUGGCUUAAUUUCAAUUGGAAUACUAGCCUAAUCCCUUAACCUCCCUAACUAUCUUAUUUAGUCCUAAAGAAAAUAUGCAAGUAGAAAUAAAAAAAAUCUUUUUGGUAUACAUAAUUUAAAGAUGCAAACUAAAAUAUACAAUAAAAGGUAAACAUAUUUUUGGUAUUUUUAAUAAAGGAAGGAAAAUAAAAUGCACAAAUAACAACAAAUCAUCCAAAUAUUAGUAUUUGUAGGAGAAUUAGAAGCGAGCAAAAAUUAGGUAUUCGCAGCUGUCCCUAUUUGCUCGACAACAUAAAAAGUUUUCGUACAAAGAAAAGUGAACGCUAUGGCUAAUUUUUGCCCACAUAUCACUCUAAUGAAAGCAUGUCUUGAAAAAAGUGAUCGAACCUUGCUUCUGCGCUUGCCUACAUAUCUUUGACUAUAAAGGAAUCAGGUCGGUGUAUUUUUGAGAAAAUUUGGCAGCUGGGACUACCAAACACUAGAGUUAAGACUGUUGUUGCUGUUGCUGUUACUCCCUUCUUACAUCAAAAGAAAAAGAGAAGAACUAUAUAUGUCUGCAAAUUAAGAGUACAAAAUUCCUAUUUAUGUGUCUUUUGGAGUCAAAUCUUGAUUCUUGACUUGCUCGCUUGUGUUGACCUUACAUUGGAUCUUGAUUCUCUUUGAAGAAAAGAUCAUGACUCAAUCUCGAUUGCUUGCUUUCUAGAUAGAAUUUGAGAAAAUGAAACUUGAGAAGCUGUGUUGCCGACACGUUGUCAAAGUUAACUCCAAUUAUCAUGUGAUCAUUUUUCUGAUGAUAACUGAAACUGCAAGUUUCGAUUGUCACAACCUGUGCUCUACGGCGAGGCCUGCAAAGCCAACAAAGACGAACAAAACGAACAAAAUUUUUCUGCCCCAGUCUAGAUCUAGAAAAAUUUUGUGAGUUAUCAAUGAAAGAUAUAAACUAUCUAAUUUAUUGAAAGGCAGAUAGAAAUAGUAGUAUAAACUAACUAAAAGAGAUAAAAUUUGUAACGAGUGAUUAUGUAACUAGGGAUCGGUACCCUGUACUACUGAAAGGAAAUGUAACCAGGGGUUGGACCCUAUCUUACUGGAAGGAAAUAUAAUCAGAAGUUAGCGCCAUGUAUUAUUUAUAAAGUGUUGAAUCCCUCCAGGUGAGAAGUUUCUACUUGAGUUAAACUAUUGUUUUGUACUUCCUCUCGGAUUUAUGAGCUGGAUCCCCCUAGGUGAAAUAGUUCUACCUGAGUUAAGCUAUAUUAAACAACCCAAGAAAAAAUCACUUAUACUUGGAACUAUGGGCUGGAUCCCUCUAGGCAAAAUAAUUCUACCUGAGCUAAGCUGUGUAAAACACCUUGAGCGAAGAGUACUUAUACCCGGAAUAUGAGCUGGAUCCCCGUAGGAGAAAUGAUUCUACCUGAGUUUAGCUACGUAAAACACCCUAAGUGAAGAGUACUUCUACCCGAAAAUAAAUAUGAGCUGGAUCCCCAUAGGCGAACGAUUCUACCUAAGUUAACCUGCAUAAAAUACCCUGAGCGAAGAGUACUUCUACCCGAAAAUAUGAGCUGGAUCCCCUAGGAGAAAGGAUUCUACUUGAGUUAAGCUGCAUAAAACAACCUGAGCAAAGAGUACUUCUACCCUAAACUAUGAGUUGGAUCACCCUAGGUGAAAUAAUUCUACCUGAGUUAAACUGCGUAAAAUAACCUCAGUGAAGAGUACUUCUAUCCGGAACUAUGAGCUGGAUCCUCCUAGGCGAAACAGUUCUACCGGAGUUAAGUCACGUAAAACAACCUGAGCAAAAUGUACUUCUACCCAGAACUAUGAGUUAGAUCCCCUGGGCGAAAUGGUUCUACUUGAGUUAAGCUAUAUUAAAUAACUUGAGUGAAGAUUACUUCUACUCGGAACUAUGAGCUGGAUCCCCCUAGGCGAAAUGAUUCUAAAUGAGUUAAGCUGCGUAAAACAACCUGAACGAAGUGUACUUCUACCCGGAACUAUGAGCUGGAUCCCUCUACGUGAAAUGAUUCUACCUGAGUUAAGCUACGUAAAAUAACAUGAGCGAAGUGUACUUGUACUCGAAACUAUGAGCUGGACCCCCCUAGAUGAAAUGAUUCUACAUGAGUCAAGCUACGUAAAACAACAUGGGCGAAGUGUAAUUCUACCCAGAAUUAUGAGCUGGAUCCCCCUAGGCGAAACAUUUCUACCUGAGUAAAGCUGCGUAAAACAACUUGAGCAAAUAGUACUUCUACCCGGAACUAUGAGCUGGAUCCCCUAGGCGAAAUGAUUCUACUUGAGUUAAGCUACGUAAAACAACAUGAGCGAAGUGUACUUCUACCCGGAACUAUGAGUUGGAUCCCUCCAAGUGAAAUGGUUCUACCUGAGUUAAGAUACGGAAAACACCCUGAGAGAAGAAUACUUAUGCCCGGAACUAUGAGCUGGAUCCCUCCAGGUGAAAUGGUUCUAUCUGAGUUAAGAUACGGAAAACACCCUGAGAGAAUAAUACUUCUACCUGGAACUAUGAGUUGGAUCCCCCUACGCGAAUAGUGAGCAUGCUGAAAAUAAAAGAAAAUGGAGACUUUAAGGAUCUUACAUUUGGUGUCAUUCGUUCUUUUAGAAUCGUCAACUCCGCCAAUGGCAAGAACUGUUAUUGUAAGCAAACUCUGCCAAUGGCAAGAACUGUUCCCAAGAUCCUCCAAACUCGAUCACAAAUGCACGGAGCAUAUCCUCAAGAAUCUAAAUAGUGUGCUCAGACUGCCCGUCCGUCUGAGGGUGAAAUGUGUACUCGACUCUACUAGAGUACCCAACUCAUGCUGAACGACCCUCCAGAAUCAUGAUGUAAACUGAGUACCUCUAUCUGAAAUGAUGGAAACUGGAAUACCAUGCAGACGAACGAUCUCCCGGAUAUAAAUCUUUGUCAACCACUUCGAAGAAUAAGUAGUACACGCAGGAAUGAAAUGAGCGGACUUGGUCAGCUGAUCCACAAUAACCCAAAUGACAUCAAACUUCUUCAAAGUAUGUGGGAGCCCCGAUACGAAGUCCAUGGUGAUCCGCUCCCACUUCCACUCCAAAAUCUCUAUCUGCUGAACUAAUCCACCCGCUCUCUGGUGCUCAUACUUCACCGGAUGACAGUUGAGGCACCAAGCUACAAACCCAAUUAUAUCUUUCUUCAACUGCCUCCACCAAUAGUGUUUCCUCAAGUCCUAAUACAUCUUCGCGGCAUCCGGAUGAAAGGAACAUGCGAACUGCGGGCCUCAUCUAGAAUCAGCUCCCUAAGCCCAUCAACAUUGGGCACACAAACCCGACCGUGCAUCCUCAACACUCCGUCCUCUCCAGUGGUCAUAUCUAUGGCAACACCAUGUUGAACCUUGUCUUUAAGAACAAGAAAAUGAGGGUCAUCAUACUGCCACUCCGUGAUACGAUCGAAUAAAGAAGACUGAGAAACCAUGCAAGCUAGAACCCGACUAGGCUCCGAAAGAUCCAAUCUCACAAACUGGCUAGCUAAGGCCUGAACAUCCAUUGCCAUAGACCUCUCUGAUGCUGGUAGAUAAUCAAACUCCCCAAACUCUAUGCCAGGCGACUCAAAGCAUCGGUCACCACAUUGGCCUUGAUUGGGUGAUACACAAUAGUAAUGUCAUAAUCUUUUAGCAACUCUAACCACCUCCUCUGGCGCAAAUUUAGAUCCUUUUGCUUUAAUAAAUACUGCAAGCUUGAUGAUCAGUAUAAAUCUCACAAGGCACACCGUAUAGAUAAUGGCGCCAAAUCUUCAGGGCGUGAACAAUGGAAGCUAGCUCAAGAUCAUGGACAUGAUAAUUCUUCUCAUGUAUCUUCAACUGUCUGGAUGCAUUGGCAAUCACCCUACCGUCCUGCAUCAAUACCGCUCCAAGGCCAACUCUCGAGGCAUCACAAUAGACAGUAUAAGAUCCUAAACCUGUAGGCAAUAUCAAAACCGGGGCUGUAGUUAAAGCUGUCCUGAGCUUCUGAAAGCUUGCCUCACAAUCUUCCGUCCACUGGAAUGGAGCACCCUUUUGGGUCAGUCUAGUCAUAGGGGCUGCAAUUGAUGAAAACCCUUCCACAACGGUAGUAACUUGCUAACCUAAGGAAACUGUGGAUCUUCGUAGCUGAGGACGGCUUGGGCCAACUUUGCACUGCCUCUACCUUCUUCGGAUCAACCCGAAUACCCUUACUCGAUACCACACGGCCCAAUAAUGCCACAGAAUCCAACCAAAACUCACAUUUUGAAAACUUUGCAUAUAAUUUCUUUUCCCUCAAAUUCUAAAGCACUGUCCUCAGGUACUGGUCAUGAUUUUCCCGAAUUCGGGAAUAUACCAAAAUGUCAUCAAUAAAGACAAUGACAAAAGAGUCAAGAUAUGGCCGAAAUACACUGCGCAUCAAAUGCAUAAAAUAUGUUGGGGCAUUGGUUAAACCAACUGACAUAACAAGAAACUCGUAAUGACCAUAUCGAGUCUUAAAAGUUGAUUUUAGGAUAUCUGGCUCCCAAAUCUUCAACUGAUGGUAACCUGAGCACAAAUCAAUCUUAGAAAACAGUGUACCCUGAAGUUGAUCAAAUAGGUCAUCAAUACGAGGCGAAGGAUAAUGGUUCUUCAUUGUAACCUUGUUCAACUGGAGAUAAUCAAUACACAUACGCAUAUAACCAUCAUUUUUCUUUAUAAAUAAGAUGGGAUCACCCCAAGGUGAAAAGCUGGGCCGAAUAAAACCCUUAUCAAGCAAUUCCUGCAAUUGAUCCUUCAACUCACAAGAAGCCAUAUGAUACAGAGGGAUGGAAAUGCGUUGAGUGCCUGGCAACAGAUUAAUACCAAAAUCAAUAUCUCUAUCUGGCGGCAUGCCUAGAAGUUCAGGUGGAAACACAUCGGGAUAAUCUCGUACUACUGGGACUGAAUCAACUGAAGGAGUAUCAAUGCUGACAUCUCUCACAUAAGCUAAAUACAUGUCACACCCCUUCGCAACCAUACUCUGAGCCUUAAGGAAAGUAAUAGCUCUAUUGGGAGUGUGAUCUAAGGCACCCCUUCACUCAACAUGCGGUAAACCUGGCAUAGCCAAGCUUGGCAUGACAAUCAAGAAUAGAAUAAUGGGGCAAUAAAAGGUGCCCAAGAUAAUAUCAAAGUCUACCUUGAUGAGCAAUAAUAAAUCCGCUCUAGUCUCAAAACCACUAAGAGCAACCAAACAUGACCGAUAAACGCAGUCCACAACAAGAAAAUCUCCCACAGGAGUAGAAACAUAGACAUGGGAACUCAAAGAAUCCCGAGAUACACCUAAGUAUGGAGCAACAUAAGAAGACACAUAAGAAUAAGCAGAGCCUGGAUCGAAUAGAAUCGAUGAUCUCUAUGACAAUCUAGAGUAAUACCUGUGAUGACAUAAUCAGAGGCAACCGCCUCGGUACAAGCAGGAAUAGAAUAGUAUCGGGCCUGGACUUAGGGCGACCUCUGCCUCCCCGACCUCCACCUCUAGUUGGAUGAGUAGGUUGGGUAGCAACUGGAGCUAUAACCAUAGCCUGAGAAAUGUGCGGGGCACGCUGUGGCUGAGAAAUCUAUAAAGGUGCACCCCUCCCAAAUUUAGGCAAUCCCUGACAAUAUGGCAUGAAUCACUACACUCAAAACAAGCUCUGGAGGAUGGUGGUUGUGACUGGCUCGGGCCAGGUCUGCUGGAUUGACCUUUGAACACACAUCGCGAAUGAGGCGUGCUAGAAACUGGAGGUGCAUAAUAAGGCUCCUGGGAUCUAGGAGUAGCUCGAGAACUAUUGGCUAGUGGAAGAGCCGUAUGAACAAGGCAACUCAUACAACCCCUACCAUGACAACCUGCAACUGGGGUACGGGCACCACAAUAAUGGCCUGACUCUCGAGACUUAUUGGCCUUCCUAUCCUCUCUCUCCCUAGCAUGCAUACCCUCAAUCCUCCUAGCAAUGCUCACCACCUGCUGAUGAGAAAUAUCCAUCUCCAACUAAUGAGCCAUGCUAGAUCUGAUGCUGGGAAUAAGGCCCUCAAUAAACCGGCAAACCCUCUCGCAUACAGUAGAAACCAAGGCUGGUACAUGCCUUGCUAAACUAGUGUAACAGACAACAUACUCUAAAACGGUCAUAACACCCUGGCACAAAUGCUCAAACUCUAUGCACCAUGCGCCUAUGAGGCUAUGAGGAACAUACUCUUUUAGGAAUAGAUCUGAAAACUGAGCCCAAGUCAGUGAAGCAGCCUCAUUUGUUCUGUUUAGCUCAUAGGUGCGCCACCACUCAUAGGCAACCCCUCGAAGCUGGAAGGUAGUGAAAGAAACCCCGCUAGAUCUUGAGAUACAUAGGGUAUGGAGAAUGCGGUGACACUCAUCGAGAAAUCCCAAAGCAUUCUCCAAUGCUAGACCACUAAAUACAGGAGGCUUGUACUUCUUGAACCUCUCAAGCCUCAACUGCUCUUCUUUGGAAGUCGCUGCCCUCCCCUCGGGCUGUACUGGCGUUACAUGCGGUACAAUAAUAACCUUGGGAGCUUGCUCCACAUGCAAUCACUGCUAAGGAGUGCGAGAGGCAGGAGUCUGUGCUUCUCCCCUAGCAUAGGAUUUGGUUGUAUCAAGGGGAAGCAACCCUGCCUGAGCCAAGGUGGUGUACAUGCUCAUGAACUGUGCCGGAGUCUCUUGAAGAGAUAUAGUAGUAGUAGAAGUAGUAGGCGUAUCGGUGCCUGGACUCCGGCUGGAACUGCUGGUGGCACCUCGACGGCCGCUCGCACAGGUGCUCUGGAUGCACCACGUGCGCGUCCUCGGCCUCUAUUGUGGCCCCAGUCUCUGGCUGCGGUAGGGGGCGUAGGUGCCUGAUUAUCUCGAGUAGCAUGUGUCUGUCGACGUCCCCUCUUUCUUAGAGUUGAAAUCAGGUUCACGACAUUUGGGAGGACAACUCUAUUUCCUUUCGAGAAUUGGGUUUUGGAAUUGGACAGCCGCCACCUAGUAAUUAUAGUGCAUUAGGACACUUUAAGAAGGGUUUGAGUUGAAGAAAUCAAAGUUUGGGUAAGGGCUAGAAAUUAUCUCUACGGGAAGGUGUUAGGCACCCUUAGAGAUCCACUAGUGUGGUCCCCAUCAUGUUACAAUUGUGAAUUUACAAAUAAGCAAUCAAGGCUCAAAUAAGGACUUGCAAUUAAAUUAAAACUUGUGAAGGUAAGUAGAGAGAGAGUAGAAAUUUGAAAGGUCUAAACAAUUCUAAAGAAAGCGUACGAAGACAAACAAAGGAAAAAGGGGUCCUAGGUUUAUGAUUAAUGUGGAUCACGUCAAUGCAAUAUCCAGUUUUCACUCCUCGGAAGAGGGGCUACAUGAGAUAUUAGCGCAUCGGUCAUCAUUUCCAAUUUCUAGCCUUCCUACCCCGUAAAGGUUAUAUAAACGCGUGGUUGGUCACGAAUGCUUAUUGUGUGCUAUUACCCUUCCCUCCAUAAGUCCUAGAGGGUAUUUUAGACCAACUAUUCCUAUAGGGAAGGACUAGGCUGAGCCCUUAGGUUUAAGGGACAAAAUGCUAGGCGCCAUACAUAACGAGUAGGAGUACACAUAAAGGGAUCAGACAAGGCAAAUAAGAGGUUCAAAAUACCUCCACAAGUAAACAUGUAGUUAUCACGUCUUCCACAUUUAUGGUCUAAAAAAUAGAAGUAAAAAGGAUGACGGAAAGAGGGAAGAUUCAGUGAAAAGCAGAAGGUUUAACUAAAACAGAGUGAAGAAUUUCAGAAUUGUAACUAAAGAGGCAGUGAGUAUAUAACAGUUUAGGAAUUAGUAAAGUAUAGCUAAACAUGUUGAAACACACUUUGAAAAUAUAGUAAUGAUAUUAAAGAUGCAGUAAAAUAUCACGAUUCUGGAUAGGCAAAACAAUCCAGUAGAAGACAUUAUAAAACUGAUACCCAGUUCCGAGAUUAUGUCAAAACAGGACGGGAGUUUUAAUCAAUUUGUAAAAGUGGAGAUAAAUUUGUCAAAACACACUUAGAAAAAUGCAGUAGUGAUAUUAAUGAUUCAAUAACCUGAAAAGACAUAGAAUAAAUUAAAGUAGCACGAGUCCGGAUAAGAAAAUGACCCAGUAGAAAUGUGAAAAAUUAGAUGCACGGUUCCGAGAUUAUUUCAAAAACAGGACGAGAGUUUUAAUAGAAAACAGAGUAAACUUUAGCGAAACAAACAAGGAACGGAGUUCAGUAGUUUUAAAAGAGGAUGAGUAGCCUGAAAACUUGCAAAACAAAAUUAAUCAAUUUUUAUUAGGCCUGAAGCUUGCCUAGGCGUAGUAUGUAUUGCCUACUUAACAGGUGAACAUGCAUAUUAAUCCAAUUUUAAGAAGCCGAUGCAGUUUAACCCAAAACUUGUGUUGUUAUUGAACAACUUGGAGAGGCAUUCAGCAAAUUGCAAAUCAGACGAAAAUAUAAAUCCUAAGUAACAUGGUGUCUAAUGCACGUAAGAGUCCUAAAACAUGGUCUUUAAAUGCUAGUGAAAGUACAUCAGUAGUUUUAACAGUUACUUAUUAGUCCAUUGUGAUUAUGGAAAGCGUAUGAUAACAAGCUGAAAGUGAAGAGUCUAAAACAUGAUUACCACUAUAUGAGAUGCAUAUCCUAUACAUGAUGUCUAUUGCACAAAUAGGUAAGUAAAGUCUUAUAAGCUUGUUUUCUACCCAUUAUUUAAGCCAAGCACGCGCAACCCCCUCCCAAUUUCACUAUAACCCCAAUCAAUUGUUUACAAAUUAUUACAAAUCGUGAUAACUGAAUUACAUAAGUAAAGAAAAAUAAGAAGUUACUCAAUAUGGAGCCUUCAACUAGGCCCAAUUCUUACAACCUCGCUUUUUUCGAGUUUCACAACCUUUGCCAUGGUCUAGGUGCGGCAAAGCUCCCUAGGGCCUUGGACAAUACUAGCACCUAGACAUUUAAAGGAAUGCAGGACAAAUGGAAUACCAUCCUUGUGUGUCAAAGUUCAGUGAGUACUCAGAGGUACUCAAAGCAAUGCUCACACGAAAGGGGCGGAACCUAUUCUCUAAGAGUAGUGUGAAGUGCAGGAAGAAGUAUUUUUAAAAGAGUUUUCAAAAAACAACAAGGGAUUUGUUCGAAAAGAAAACAACAGAAACGAUAGUUUAUCAGUACAGAAUUACAUACAAGGAUCAUGUAGAAAGGGGAACAGAUAGAUCACACAAUGCUAAAGGAGAUACAAAGGUUUAAUGAACAUGACUACACAGAAUCAGGAGGUUCAGGGAACUGGGAAGUAGUAAGGUUUAGGCAUGCUAAGGUCUAACAAUAGGACACAUGCAUAGCAAGUAAAGUUAGGGAUAGACAAAGUCAUAAUACAGAGUUAGCAUGUAAAUCAGUAGACAUGGUGAAGUAUUAAAGCAAAGAAUCAAUUACACAUUGAGCAGGAGAAACUUAAAUAGAAGAAAAUAAAAAAUAUUAUGAACUGAAGCAAAAGUGAACACAUUGGUUGGAGACUAGAAAAUAGUUCCAGAGAACAACCUGGGAUUUUGUUUUAUGAAAAACAAGUUUGAAAAAGGAAGGAAAUAGGACAAUCAUGACUUAGAAGAUAUGCAGAGUUCUGGAAGCAAACACAAGUAGGGAUAGGGACUAGGGGUAAAUGAAUCACAUAGUAUAAGCUGCCUUAUACAUAAUUAAUCCUUAGGCUAGAGUUACAACAUAGUUAUCACAUAAUGUGCAUGCCAAGAGUCCAACAGCAUCAGGUGUCAAACAGAGUCACACAUUAGAUCUAGGAUUAGAAUCAUAUAACACUUAGGUGUUAUGUUAGGCAGAGGAUGAAAACAUAUAAGAAAACAUUGGCCAUGCUAAGAUAAGAGGAAAGAUAAUCACUUAGACAAACAAGUAUGCUAGCUUCAUAGGAAUCAAACAGAGUCAUAGUGGAUCACACAAGGGAAAUCAAGAGACAUAUUAGACUAAAGGGAAAGGGAAAUCACAGAGACAUGCUAGUUACAUGGUAAAAAAUAGAACCAUAAGUAAAAUCACAAAAGGAAUAACAAGAAUCUUAGUAUGAACUGAAACAUGUUGUUUUCGGAUACUGUAAACUUAAACUAGAAACAUAUCAGUAAAGAGUGAGAAUAGAACUGCAGGGUGCAGAGAGGUAGAGCAACCGAAUAAUUGCAGAACAAGAAAAAGAGCAGCAGGACAAUAGUGUGCAGAUGCAAGAGGGCAACAGUAAUUACUCAGUAUCGGUUUUCAGCCAACUGAGUAAUCAGUAACUAAUACGAGAAGCAAAAGAGAAUAUGUAUGAGAGUAAGAGAGAACUUAGAACAAUAUCAAUAUUGUUUGUGUGAAUGUCUUAGUGAUAUUUCUUGUGUUAUGCAAAAGAGAAUAGAAUAUUUUAAUGCUGAAAACGAGUAUGAAAAAUAAGGUAAGGAGUACUAAUUUUUACAUAAUUAUGGAAACAAUGAUCAAUCAACAUCAAUUAAAGACACAGACUCCUUUGAUUAGGGAAUAAGGUUCAAAAGGUACAAUCAUAUCUAAAUAAGGAAAAUGAAUUAACUCAUAGACUAAUUUUAACCCAAUUGGAGCAGUAACUUCAUGUGGCAUAUAAUAAAGGCCAAAUACAUAAUGAUUUAAACAAGGAAGAUAUGUAUUGCACAUAAAUAAGGUAGAAUUCAAUCCAUUUUUGAAAAAUCAACCAGAGUACCACAGAGGAGACUGAAAAUCUCAAUAAAUUGGUGCUAAUUAGGGAAAGCAUCUCACAAAUAAGGAAGCAAUUAAAAAAACAAUACAUAAUUAUAGGAGAAACACAUAAAAGCAUAUAUUCAACGAAAUAUCAUAGUUUUGCGGAAAGAUGCAUAGAAUCGAUGGGUUCUUUAAGUAAACAAUUAGUCAGACCUAAUAAUCAUUAAAUAGCACUUAAAUCAGAUAAGCCCUAAACAGGGGGUCAUAGAAUAGUAGAAGGCUGGAAUCCUAAUAGCAAAAUUAAAGCAUAGAACUUGGAGAGUAACCAAAAGAUCACACAAACAAGCACAUAACACAAACAUAAACACAUAAUACUAAAAAAAAUUAGAAGAUAUAGUGAUUUCGAAAGGGGUUCAGAAACCCUAGUUUUUAAAAGAAGAACAAAACGUUGAAAACUUGAGCAACCAAAGGAAUCAAGUAGAGAGUAGUGUAAAAAACAAAAGAAUAAGUUAAAAAUCAUUUUUUAAAAGAUAGAGAUUAAGAGGUCUAGGUAGAAAUUAGGGUUUCGUAAUAAACCAGUGAGAAGCAAGGAACCUAGAUGUGAAACUCGUUAAUAAUGAUGCCCGUAGCAUCGUCGGGCCAUAACCCAUCAGAGAAAGAUAGGAGACAAGCCAUGCAAAGCUUCCGAUGACCAUCUUGUAUGGUGGAGGCUUAUAGAGUCUUGAAGAUAGAGGGAAUCAAUGAGACGAGGUCUCACGUCCACUGGUGGUCGAGAGAAAUGAGACUGGAGGUGGCCGGAGAGGCAGUGGCUUCAUCAGAGACGAGAGAGAGAACCAGAAGGUUCUAGAGAGAAGGGAGAGCAAACGUUAGCAUAGAUAGAUAGAGAGAGAGAGAGAGAGAGAGAGAGAGAGAGAGAGAGAGAGAGAGAGAGAGAGAGAGAGAGGUCGUCACUGAGGUGAGGGGUUUGGGAGGGGGGGUUUUUAGAUUUUAAUUUCGAAAAUAGAAUCUGCGCCGUUGAUCUCAUUUGAUUAACGACUCAGAUCAUAUCAAGGCUGGACCAAGUCGUUGAAUCGGGUAUGGGUCGGGGGAUUUAAGGUUUAAAUUGUGGUUCAAUUUAGGCUGUAAUCGUAAUAAAUCUGGCUAGUAUUUAAUAGCCACUUUUCCCCCUUUUAUUUUAUAAAUAUAGUGAAAAAGAUUUUAAAAAUAGAUUAAAAACACCAAAAUAAUUAUAAUGUAUAAAUAUAAUCUAAAAAUACUGGAAAUGAUUUUAUAAUUAUAAAAAUGUAAUUAAUUGUAAAAUAUUCUAUAAUUGUAAUUAUAUAUUAUUUAGCUUUAAUAAUAUCAAAUAAAUAUAUAAAAAUAUGCAAAAUUUAUUUAAACUAUUUUUUAAUAUAAAUAUAAGAGUAAAAUGAAUUAUUCACUAAAAUGAAUAAUUAGUGAAUUUUGUAGUAUUAAAAUAGACAGUAAAUUGGUUUUAAAAAAUCUGUAGAAAUUUAGAAAAAUACCGAAAUACUUGGGUAUGCUCAUAUAUGCGCAUAUAUGUUAUAUUGAAAGUGUUUUGGGUAUAAAAAAUACCUCGGAGAAAAUUGGGUAUCAACAGUAUCCUCACCAUCUGUGAGAGAAUAGAAGGCAGAAGUUUAGCAUUGUGAUAUCAAAAUAUCGCACGAAAUCAAAUAAAGUGAAAAUUUUCCUAACAGUUACAUAGCCUCUCGUAGAUAAGUACAGAUGUCUCCGUAUCGAUCAGCGAGACUCUAAUAAAUCGACUUGUGAUCCGUGACUCCUAUGAACCUAGAGCUCUGAUACCAAUUUGCCACGAUCCCAGUUCGCCCUCCUUGAACUGUCGUGACGGCACCUACUCUCUAUGGAUAGGUGGGCCCAAGUUUCGAAAGUAAAACAGUUUAAAAACAAAAAUAAAGCAUUAAUAGUGUCUAAAUGUUCCGCUCGGCCAACACCAUAUAUAAAACUCAAAGCCAAUAUCCAAAUCCAAGACCCGGAAACCCACGAAUCACAAGCUAAGAUAAAUGCUGCAUAGCUCUAAACUCCGGAAUAUCUAACAAUUGAAAAGUACAGAAGGCUAACUACUAAAGAAGGAAUAGAAAGGGACUCCUUGGUCUGCGGACGCGGCAGAUGUACCUCGGAGCCUCUAAGCAGUCACCUCCCUUAAGUAGGGUACGCCUGAUCAGCGGUAUCUGGAUCUGCACAUGAAAAAAAAUGUAGAAAGGGCAUGAGUACACUAUAACGGUAUUCAGUAAGUGCCAAGCCUAACCUCGAUCGGGUAGUGAUGAGGAAGGUCAGGGCCCUACUGAGAUUAAAUAAAAGUUAUAAUUAAAUAGUAUAGAACAAAUAGUUUAACAUGUGCACUAAUUAAAUUAACAUAGUAUAUAUAUAGCAUCAACAAUUACACAGUACAUGUAGAGACAAUUUAAGCACUGAAGGGAAAAUGCAGCUCAGUUCCAAUAAUACCAACCGGUGAUUUACCAGGAUACUGUCUUAAAGUCCCAAUUAUAACUGUCUAGUGGAUCUCCCGAGAUACCGUCCUGUAGUCCAUUAUAUAUAUGUUUGAAGAUUCUCCUAGGAUCCCGUCCCGUAGUCCAACUAUCAAUUCCUGGAGAUCUACCAGGAAUAUAACCCGUAGUCUCAAAUGUAAAUACCCAAUACAAACACACUCUCGUAGUUCCAUAUAACUGCACAUGGGGAUCUAUCAAAAAUCUAACAUGCAGUCCCAAUGUAAAGGUGCAGGGGGGAUCUAUCGGGAAUCUAACCCAUAAUCCCAAAGUAAACCGAGAAGGAAGAGCUACCGGAAUUACACAUCCAUAGUCCCAAUAUAAAUACACAGCAAUAGCAAGAAAAUAUUCAAAGAAGGGAAAUGUCAUAUUAAGGCAACUAAUAGUUCUAGCCUAGCAUGCUGCAUAGAGUUUAGGUAAACAGAUUGAACAAUUAAAGCAAUUGAAUCACUUAGAAAUGCUUUCCUAAGCUAACACUAGAUUAAAUAAUAUAAGUAAUAAAAGCAGGGGAAGGAACAAACUAAUAAGUGCUUAAAGAAAAAAACCGUAUUUCCAACAAUUUGCACAAGUAUGCACUCAUCACUCACGUACAAGGCAUUUCAAUUACCAAACAUAUCAAAUCCUAAGGGGAAGGUCCCCCACACAAGGUUAGACAAGCCACUUACCUCGAACCGGCUCAAAUGAACUUGAAACCACACUUUUUCAUGAAAAUCCGAAUUCAAAUGGCCCAAAUCAAUUCAAUUCAAUUGAAUAUUGUAAAUACACCACAAGUAACUAAUUCAACAAUUAAAGUCUAAGCUAAUAUGCGAAAUUAUGUAAAAUAACAUAAACGCGCCUCAGGCCCACGUCUCGGUUUUGGGUGAAAUUUACAUUUUCAGAAACCUCAUACUCUCACGAGUCAAUACAUGAUAAGAACAUUGAAAUCGGAGUCCAAAUGAUCCCUCAAUUCCUCAAUUCAUCAAUUAAAUGUCUCUUAAACUUAAGCCCUAAUUACCCAUUAUUCCCAAAUUUCUCACUAUUAAUUAGGUCUUUAAUCAUAUGAAAAUGUGUUAUGAAGUCAAGGACGUUACCUCCAAGCGAUUUCCCUUUUGUUUCCUCAAAAAUCCCUCUCAAAAGCUUCAAACUCGGAUAAAAAUGGUGGAAGAAUAACUAAAUUUCACAAAGGCAACUAUUUAUACUCUCUGUCCAGCGACUUUCGCAUUUGUGACCCUGGGACCGCAUCUGUAGUCUCGCUUUUGCUGAACAAGUGUCGCAUCUGCGACUUUCCUUUAAGUGACCAGCAACCGCAUCUGCGAAUGCCUUUUCGCAGAUGCGAAACCGCUUCUGCGGUCUAACUUCCGCAUCUGAGGUACCUGAAGGCAAGGCAAGAAUCCACUUUCGCGGUCCUCUGCACUACUUCUGCGGCUCUGCACCUGCGAAACCCAAAUUGCAGUUGUGGUUAUGAUAGGUACCAGCUGAACCAGCAAUCUCUUAACUUCAAAAUCCUUUUGUUAUCCAUCCAAAAUCAUCCCGAGGCUCCCAGGACCUCAACCAAAAGCACCAACAUCUCCUAAUACCUCAUUCAAACUUGUACCCAUACAUAAAACACCCAAAACAACAUCGGAACCAUGGAUUAACCAAGGAUUUAAGCCUAGGAAUUCCAAAAUUCUCAAAAAUACGCUUUCAAUAAAAAAACCCAACCAAACCACAUCCGAAUGACCUGAAAUUUUGCACACAUAUCCCAAAUGACACAAUAGAGCUAUUGAACUCUUGAAAUUUUGUUCUGGUCCUUGGAUCAAAAUCUCACAAUCGAAUCAGAAACUUCAAAAAUUCAACUUUUGGCACUUCAAGCCUAAAUUAGAUACGAACCUCCAAAACACAAUCCAAACACGCUCCUAACCCUGAAAUCACCCAACAAAGCUAACAGAACCAUCGGAUUUCCAUUCUGAGAUCGUCUUCACACUGUUUUGAUUACGGUCAACUUUCCAACACAUAAGCACUCAUUUAGGGACUAAGUGUCCCAAAACUCUUCGAAACUUAAAACCAAACAUCCCAGCAAAUAAAAAUAGCAGAAAUAGACUUAUGGAAAGCAGUUAAUAGGGGAUCGAGGCGUUUAUUCUUAAGAUGAACGGCCAGGUUUUCACAUCUGCUCACUAUCACCUUAUAGUGAUCGUAUAGGUUUUUCACUGAUAAGACUCUCUCAUUUCUUUUUUCUUUUUUUUUUUUUCUCUCUUUAUUUUCCCUUCUUUUUUUUCUUCUUUUUUUCUGUGAUAAUGCAUCAGGGAGGUUAUCCAAUGCCUUUGGCAUGGGGACUUCAAAAAUUCUCAAAAAAACAUUGAUCAGAAGUUCUUGAAAGGUAAAAAGGCAAAAUGAACCUUGAAUUGAAUUACAACUUUUGGAACAAAUUGUGAAAUAAAACAAACUUCUGCCCCAAUUUUGGAGUAUUGGAUUUUUUGUUCUGAUGGGACCGAACCUAGGGUAAGGUAGCCUAUGUAUCCUUUCGGAAUCAGGUCGGACGUAGUUCAAUGACUCUGAUGCUUUAUUGUUUGACUAUUUUUCUUUAUUUCUUUUUUUACAAGUACACAGGUUCUAAAAGGUGCAAAACGAAGAAGAAAAAUACAGCUCAAAUGGGUUAACAAAAUAAUGACACCUAUUUGGAAUAGUAAGCAAAUGAUAGCAUUCUUCAUCUCGAUACGAGAAAAUCAAUGUGUGAAAGUUCUACAGUGGCCAUAUAUCAUACAUAAUAUCUUUUGACCGGUAACACUUUCUUGAUGAUGUAGGGUCCUUGCCAGUUCGGUGCAAACAUUUCUUUGGCUUCAACCAGGUGCGGAAGGAUGCGUUUAAGAACUUGUUGGCCUACCUCAAAAUGCCUAGGGGGUGCACUUUAUUAAUGUAAGCACGUGUCGUUCUUUGCUGGUAUAACUAGCCAAAACACACUGCUAUUUGCCUUUUUUUAUCGAUCAACAUCAGUUGUUCUAAUCGAGUCUUGACCCACUUAGUGUCUUCAAUCUCUGAUUCCAUAAUAAUUCGGAGAGAGGGAAUUUAAACUUCAGCGGAUAUCACAACGUGAGUUCCACAUACAAGCAGAUACAAAGUCGCACCAUUGGAUGUGCGAACAGUCGUGCGGUAUCCCAAAAGAGCAAAAGGCAACUUUUCAUGCCAUUGCCUGGAACCUUGGAUCAUCUUCCUAUAAAUUAUUCUUGAUGUUCUUGUUCGCCGCUUCAAUGACUCCAUUGGCUUUUAGCCGGUAAGGGGUAGAAUGGCGAUGCAUGAUUUUAAAUUUUUCGCAUACCUCCUUCAUCAAAUGACUAUUUAGAUUGGCUGCAUUAUCAAUGAUAAUGGUCUUUGGGAUUCCAAAGCGAUAGAUGAUGCUGGAAUGAACAUCAGCCACUUGAAAGUGACAUCAUCCAGCCACUUGGUGAAGUAAUCAAUGAAUCUAUGCCUAUUUGAAGCCUUUGGCUCGAUUGGCCAAUAACAUCCAUUCCCCAAGCAACGAAAAGCUAAGGAGAGGACAUGGGAUGUAACUCUGAAGGAGGCGAGUGAAUCAAGUCACCAUGAAUCUAGUAUUGGUGACACUUGUGAAUAAAACUUAAGCAAUCUCACUCCAUAGUAAGCCAAUAUUAUCUUGCCCGCAGAAUAUUCUUCGCCAAAACAUAUCCAUUCAUGUGAGGUCCGCAUACCCCCGAAUGCACAUCGCUCAUGAUGCUCCACUUCUGUGUCAUCUAUGCAUCUCAACAAGUUUAAAUCUGGGGUUCUCUUGUACAGAAUUUCCCCAUUCAAGAAGAAACCACCGGCGAGCUUCCUUAUAGUUCUUUUUGAUCUCCUUUGGCAUGCUCUAGAUAUUCUCUUAUUUUCAGGAAUUGUUUUAUGUCCUGAUACUAUGGCUCACCAUCUGGUUCUGUCUCAAUUGUAUUGCAGUAAUCAUGUUGAUUCCAAACUUGAAUUUCUAGUGGAUCAAUAUGAGUAUUGCCUAGAUAAGGGAGCAUCGGGGCUAAAGUUGCCAAAGUAUCAGCUAGCUCGUUGUGAAACCUGGGAAUGUACCUGAACUCGAUAGAUUUGAAUCUUUUGCUCAAGUCUUGCAUAUAUUGUCUGUAUUAAAUAAGAUUGAUGUCUCGAGUCUCCUAUUCGCCCCGAGCUUGUCGGAUAAGCAAGUCGGAAUCUACCAUAACCAAUAGUUCAUGCACAUCCAGAUCGAUAGCCAUUUUCAGACCCAUGAUACAAGCUUCAUAUUCUACCAUAUUAUUGGUACAUAAGAACCAAAGUCGGGUCGUUGCAUGGUAAUGAUAUCCAAUAGGUGAGAUAAAGAUUGCCCCGAUACCAACUCCUUUAAUAUUGACAGCCCCAUCAAAAUACAUUUCCAUACAGGGUUAUCGUCUGGAACUACUUCCUCUAUUGAGUUGACCUCUUCAUCUGGGAAGUAUGUGCUAAGUGGCAUGUACUCAUCAUCAACAAUAUUCUAUGCCAAAUGAUCUGCCAAAGCCUAUGAUUUCAUUGUCGUGCGAGUGACAUAAACAAUGUCAAACUCUGUGAGGAGGAUUUGCCAUUUUACGAGCCUGUCAGUGGGUAUUGGCUUUUGGAAGAUGUACUUUAAAGGAUCCAUUCUAGAUAUGAGGUAAGUAGUGUAGGCCAAAAGAUAAUGUCUCAGCUUCUGAGUGACCCAAGUCAAGGCACAACAUGUCCUUUCUAAAUGGGUGAACUUCUUGCUCAAAUAAUAGAUUGCAUGUUCCUUUAUACAUGUUGCAUCAUGUUGCCCCAAUGCAUCCAAAGGAAUUAUCCAUCACCGAUAGAUAUAAAAACAAAGGCCUACUAGGUUUAAGUGGGACCAGUACAAGGUGUUUUGACAGAUAAUCUUUGAUUAUGUCAAGAGCUAUUUGGCAAUCGUCCGUCUACCUGAUUGCGACAUCCUUUUUCAGCAACUUAAACAUGGGCUCACACGUGGUUGUGAGCUGAUCAAUGAACCUACUGAUGUAGUUCAUCCUCCCGAGUAAACUCAUGACUUCCUUUUUGUUCUUUGGGGUGGAAGAUCAGGAAUGGACUUUAUCUUGGAUGGAUCCAAUUCGAAGCCUCUCAGACUGACUAUAAAACCGAGGAGUUUUCUAGAUGGAACCCCAAAUGUACAGUUGGCUGGAUUAGGCUUAAGUUCAUACGUUUGAAUCCAUUCGAAAAACUUUUUCAAAUUGCACACAGGAUCAGCUUGUGUCUUUAAUUUUAUGAUGACAUCAUCGACAUAUACUUCAAUCUUUUUGUGCAUCAUAUUGUGAAAAAUGGUGGUCAUGGAUCUUAUGUAAGUUGCCCUGCAUUCUUUAAAAUUGAAUGGCAUGACCCUCUAACAAUAAGUACCCCAUUGAGUGGUAAAAGCAGUAUUUUUUGCAUCAUCUUCAUCCAUUAGAAUUUGGUGGUACCUAGCGUAGCAAUACACGAACAAUUGUAUCUCAUGCUUUGAAUAAUUAUCUACAAGAAUGUAGAUAUUUGACAAAGAAAAAUUAUGCUUUGGACUUGCUUUGUUCAGGUCCCUGUAGUUAACACAAACUCGGGUCUUUCUAUCCUUCUUCAGCACAAGCACAACAUUCGCCACCCAGGUGGUGUAUCGGACAACUCUAACAACAUUAGCUCAAUUGCUUCAUUAUAUUGUCUUUAAUUUGUUACUCACGCCUGUUUUAAAUUUUUGUUGCUUUUGUUAGACUGGUGAAAAACUAGGAUACGUAGGAAGCUUAUAAACCACUAGAUUAGUACUUAAACCCGUCAUAUCAUCGUAAGACCAAGAAAACACAUCUAUGUAUUCAAACAAAAGUUGAAUCAAGGAAUUUCUGUUUUUUUGUUCAAUGUGAGUGCUUAUCUUUGUUUCUCUAACUUCUUCAUGACUUCCGAUAUUAAUUGGCGCCGUUUUAUUGAGGCUGGGCUUAGGAUUGUUUUCAAAUUGUUCCAAUUGUCUUUUUUCUUUUCUCGACAACAUCAUCUUCAUCAUAUUCAACCUUUUGAUGUAUUAUUUCGAUAUUAGAAAAAUUUUUAUGAUCUAGGUGUGAAUUAUGCAUGCAUGUCAUGUUAUUAAAGCCGGCAUUAACAAAACUAAAAUGGAAAUAAAAUAAUAGGAAUUAGGAAAAGGAAAAGAUACAAAACUUAAUAGGAAAUUGAACUGAAUUUCAUUGAAUUUGAAAGGAUAUAAGGUUAACAUCAAAACAAAACAAUCAUACUGAGAUGUUUGGAUUACAACCCUGAAAGAAACCCAAAAUACAAAAAAAAGCUACAAAAGCAACCUACUAAGACUCCUUCCUUGUGGGGAAAGGAUUUUUGCUUCCCAGUUAUUGAGCAUGAUGUCUGGGUCAAUUAGUUUCAUAUCGGCACGACUAGUGCAUUCACCAGCCUGGAUCAUUUUCACUUUAGAAAACAUCUGGCUGGGGCCAUGGCAAAUUUCAUCAAUGUUUGCAUACGUCGAGGAAUUUUGACCCUUUCAGAGUCGUGGCCUAACGAACGUGUAGAAAAUGUGAGGGAUAGGCUGUUGUAAGACCCUUCCAAGCUUUUUGCGGUGUUUGGAUUUGUUUUCAUCUUCUUGUGUUGGCCUGAAGCCUAAGCCAAAAGUACCCUGGUUACCGAACGAAAAAUUAGGCUCCGAAAUUCCUUGCAACAAUGUCCCUAAGCCUUUUCCUGGCUCAUAACAUUGUCUCAUCAUAACUAUAACCAUCAUUACAGAUGUGGCAGAAAGAUGAGGAUACAGAAUGUGCUUUCCUUCCUCGACAUGGUCCACAAUAAAAGACUAAUAUACAAUGGACUCAGACCCUUCCUUGGACUCAAUACAUGGGAACAGAUCUUUAUAAUGGAAGACUCGUCUUCCCUGUGAACAAUAAUUUCUUGCCUGUCAUGUUUGAAUUUGAGCAUCUGAUGCAAGGUUGAUGGCACAACUCAGGCUGUAUGGAUCCAUGUCCUUCCAAGAAGAAAGUUAUAUGAAGUGGCCAUGUACACUACAUUGAAGACAAUCUCAAAGUCAACCAGUCUAAUUGUCAUGGUGAGGUUGAUCUCCCAAAUGGUAUCUCUUGCUGAGCCAUCAAAAGCCUAGAUGCAAACAUUGCUGGGUCGGAUUCUAUCUGUAUUGAUCUUCAUGCUUUGCAAGGUAGAGAAAGGGCAUAUAUCUGCACUUGAGCCUCCAUCAACCAUGACUCGCUUUACAUCAUGCCCCUCAUAUUUAACCAUCAAGUUCAAAGCUCUAUUGUGCUCGGCUCUCUCCUCGGGAAGUUCAUCAUCAGUAAAGGAGAUUAUGUUCACCUUAAAAAAGGAGAUUACCUCCCUGCUUCUACCUUGUGAUGGGGUGGCCUCCAAGUACAUAUAACCUUGGGCUUGGAACACGGGAGUGAACUUCCAACCUUGAGAUUUUUGGGAUAAAUAAAGUUGCCUUCUUUGAGCUCUAGGCGCCUUUCACAAUCAAUGGCACAUCUCGGUUGGGACUUAAUUCCAGAACUGUUCCUUCUUGAAUUGCACCUACUGUCAUUUCCACUCGAUCGACCGGCUUAUAAUUUUGAUCUCGGCAAAUCAUUCCCAUAAAAUGAACAUCAAUGUGUGCUCGCAAUGGGUUGUUUAUUAUAUUAGGAUGUUCCUCGCCAUUCAUCACUACAAUCAAUUUUAUAGAAAUGAGCCUCUCUAUGGCUCUUUUCAGAGUCCAACAAUCAUCAGUGCUAUGCCCCGGGCACCCGAAUGAUAUUCACAUCUACAAUUUGCUAGAAAUCCAUAUGAAUCAGGAUGCAUAUGGUGGGGAGCGAUAAGUCCAAUCACGCCCAUUUGCUUCAGUUUAUGGAAUAGACUAAAGUAUGAUUCGUCCAAUGAAGUGAAUUUUUCUGCUGGCCUCUGCUCUCGACCAUAAUCUUGCUAGGGAGGAGCAUUAUAGGGUGCCCAAAAAUUUUGCUGCUGAGGUCGGGGGGCCCUUGGAGCUGGUGCGCAUACCUGCUAAUUGGGAGGCCGAGUAUAUGAUUGAACAUUGAACACUUUAUAUUAUGGUCGGCCCACAGAGUAUUGAGGAAUUGGCGGGGGAUAGUAAUGAACUGAACUUUCACAUAAGGGUGCGAUGCCCUUCUUUGAACUUCCUUAGAUCCUGAAACCAUCUUGGACCCUUCAUUUCUCUUCUUUUUAUUUGCCAAACCUCCCAAUCCAUUUUUGGAUAGCUUGGGUGGUGGCCUUGAGAGCAGCUUGACUUACAAUUCUACCAUUCUCGAGGCUAUUUUCGACCAUCUCCCCUAUUUUGAUUUCUUCUGCAAAAGGUCUACCCAUCGCGGACAUCAUGUUCUAAAAGUAAUCAUGCUCUUGAGCAUCCAGAAAAACAGUAAUCAACUCGUGGUUAUCCAUGGGUGGCUUAACUUUAGUGGCUUGCUCCCUCCAGUUGAAGUCAUACUCCCUAAAACUUUCGGUCAGUUUUUUUUCAUAUUAGGCAAGGAAUUAUGAUCCGGUGCAAUAUUAAUGUUGUACUGAAAUUGUUUGAUGAAGGCCUGGGCCAUGUCAUCCCAACCAUGCCAGUGAGAGAUAUCUUGGUCAGUGAACCAUUUGGAAGCUACCCCCACAAGGCUUUCCCCAAAGUAAGCCAACCCUAGAGGCAAAUGGAUGUGAGGGAACAUGCAUAGAUCACUGAAUGAUAUACUUUUUUGACCACGUAGUCCCUGUAUAUUCUUUAUAUUCUGUUAUUGACUUUUCAUUUUCUUAGCCAUCUCAUCUGGCUCAACCGUCAUGGUAGGCUUUCCAUUUCCAUUAGUGACUCGUAUUAUGGAGUCUGAUUGUAUGGAGCCGAGACUCCGAAAGCUAUAUUUGUAGAAUAGUAUUGGCCAUCAUAAGCAUGAGAUGGUGGCUCAUUGUUUGGCCUCAUCACAGGAGGUGGUGACCGAACUGUAUAUACCAGUGUGCCAGACACGACGAGAGGGGUGUUCCUGACUGGUGUGACUGGAGGUCGCAUGUUAGAGGUAUCGGGGGUAGCAAAGACACUGUUGUUUGGCACAUAACCUUGUGGUAGAAUGUGAUCGCUUGUUGCCUGGAGCGGUGUUUGAGUAGCCUUGGAUAUGGUGGAAGUUCCCUCCGAGGGACCCUAGUGUGGAGGUUGACCGAAAACCCAAGCUUGAUAUACACCUGACAGUUGCUGUCUUAAUUUUCUCAUUUCCUCCGACUCUUGCUCAACUGACUAACUCUGCGGAUUAUCACUGACCAACUCGAUUUUAUCACUAUUAUCCAUUACCAUUUCUACCUUAGAUCUUGUGAAGUAAUGAUGCGUCAAAAGUUUCACCACAAACCAACCACCUUAAGCUUACUAUAUAAGAGGCAAAUAAAUAUGUUAGGGUUAAACAUUUUACAGAUAGGAAUCACACUUAGAUAUGCUAUGCUCCUAAAAUAUCACCAUCUCUAACAUGAUUUUUGUAAGGCUUCAUGUUUCAUUUCGGCUUAUCAGCUUGUUGACUAUUGAACUGUUAUCUCUCAUUUUUUCUUCCUUUUUCUGUUUUUUUGUUUUGUUUUUUCUUUCACUCGCCUUGUUUUGAUCCCUCACUUUCGAGUCAUUUGAAAAAUAUUUGAUAGAACCUUUUGUGGGUUGACUACGUAUCAUGUUGCCGUAUGAAUUAGAUCAUUACGUAGUUCAUGUACAUGACCCUUUUUUUUGACAAAACAAACAUCUUUUUGGUUCAUUUUUGAAUUUUUCCAAACAAAAUCUUUUUCAUUGAUUUUCAAUAUAUAUAAUAAAUUUUUUUUGAUACAAGACUCAAAAACACAAGAGUUACAUAAAGAUAAACAAGACUAGACUUGACUUAAACAGAUUUUUUAGGAUAAAAGGCAAAACUACAAGACUCAAAACACCAAAAGACUCUUAUAGACACAAAAACAACAAAAGGAUAAUGAAAAAAAGACUGAUAAAUAAAAAAAGACUUUGAUCUCUGCAGUAGAAUCCACCAACAUCAAUGUAAUCAAGGUGCUUGUUCCUACGACUGACCCCCAACAUUGCGGUAUAUCCUUUCCAAGUCUUCAGAUAUAUGGUGAGCAACGUUCGAUGAUACUUCUGCAAACCGCUCGGGCAUCAUUCCCUGACAACUCUUGCAUGCUUUUGAGGUAUAUGUGGCUACCUCAAGGAUCUUUCAAUUAAUGUAUUCUUAAGCCACAUGCAAAUCUUGAUUUUGCUGACUACAUAUCUCAGCUAGAUCCAGCGCAUAGCGGUCAUGGUCCAAGGCCAUAUCUUUCUAGCACUGAACUUCAAGUGACUCCGUUUCUAACUGAUUGAUCACCUUUCGGUAGUGGUGUUUUUAUAUUUCAAACUCCACGAUUUGGCUCUCCUUACUUGACUCAACUCCCCCUAUACCUUGGAUUAAUGGAGCAAAACCUCUACACUCAUGAUCGCACACCACCUUGAACUGCUUCUCUUUCUUCUUGUUGUUGAGCGGUAGUGAUCAUUUUUUCUGCCUAAUUUAAGCUUUGAGUGCUCACCUAUCUUGUUCCUACUGAGCCUUUUCCCGCUCAAAAUCAACCUAUUAUAUGUUAAUGGCUGUCUCCGAAAUGCCCUUAUCCUCUUGUAAAAUGUUAAUAUGAGAUUGGAACUCUUGUGCCACUUCCCCUCUGGUUUCUCUAACUCUAGCCUCGAUCUCCUCGUCCCAAUCAACUGCGUGCCUUAUGGAUCUUUCUGGCCUUUGCUCGGGGAUAGCCUAGUUGUGAAAUCACUCAAGGUAUGGAUCUUUGUGCAUAUGACUCUCUUGGAGGUUCCCCUCCCCUGAAUUCCCACACGAAGAAACGCAUGUCCUCAAUCGAGGGCCUUUUUUGCGCUCUCCCUAGCUGGCGCAUGAGUCGUAAGGGCGCAUAGGGUUGGAAACCUCUAAAACCCAUGAGUAUGGAGAACGGGAGAUACGUCGACAUAUGUAUGACACUAGCAAAAAGGAACCAAUAAUAGUUCCAAGUGAUUCUAUCAGCACUUAAUGAACCAAGAAAUUUUCGCCAGGGCCUCACUCCCUCUGGAAGAUUACAACUUAUGGCCCUGUCUGGGUGACAUCCAUUGUAAUUUAACCAAUUUUUAUUGAAAUUUAUUACUAUUAGAUGAUGAUAAAGGUGAUAUAUGAACUACAUCUACAACAGAAUGUUGCAUCCCUCGAAAUAAUCUUCACCCUCUUGGCAUCGAGUCAAAGCUUGAAAAAUAUCUCCCAAAAUCAUGGGAAGAAUGGUAUGAUCCUCGCUACUUUGCAAAUACGAGACUACCGCAACUAAUCGAACUCUGAUGCGCCUACCACGUUCUGGCAAGACCAUGAUCCCUAGAAAUGAUAUCAUGAACGCAUAGAUUUUCAACUCCCUCCAAGCGUCGUAACUCAACUGGUUGACAAAUUCUAUGCCCAAGAAGUUCUCAGAUCAUUUCUCGUCCCCAAAUCUGUCAUAAAGAUAUUUCAACAGAAACCAACCUUCAUUUAAGCAAACCAUUGGAAUUCAACGGAGGCAUAACUUCUUUAAAAAGUUGUUCACACCAACUUUUCUUGGAGUGGCAGGCCUUUUCCCACGAAGGUCUCUUCCUAAUCCGGUGAACCCACCUAAUUCCUCCAAUGUAGGCAUAUUUUCACAAUCUUUGAGCCUGAAGACAUUAUUGGCGGGAUCCCAAAAACCCACUAGAGCCUCGAUUAAAUUCUGUUAGGCUUAAUUCCCAUGAUGUUUGUGAGGAACUUGAGGUGCUUAAAUACUUGAUUAUGUUCCCAUGUAGCAAAACUAGCCCACUAAUUACAGAGAGUACUCUGGGUCUUAUCUCCGGUCAAGAACAUAGGAGGUGUCUCGUUCCUUACCCUUUUCUAACAGUUUCUUUGUAGAGAACUCAUGGUGAACCUAAGAGUAAGAUAGAAGGGUCAGGACUUACCUAAACUAUAUGCAAAUUCUUAUCAUUCGUUUUUCUUUUCUUUUUUUGUUGCCAAUUUAGGAAUCGAUCUAUUUUUAUUUAUUUAUUUAUUUAUUAUUAUUAUUAUUAUUAUUAUAUAUCAUUUUUUAAUAUUACCGGACUCAAAAGUUGAGAUGAUAAAAGCAUGAAGAAUGGCUAUUACUACGAAAAUGAUCAUAGGAAUAAAAUGAUAAAAAUAGACAAAAUAAAAAAAUAAUAAAAAACAUAUAUUACUAAAAAAGGCCCUUCGGCACCCCCCGGGAGGGGCUCAAAAGUUGUCUCAGCAAAUAUAACCAGACAAAACUAGAUAAAAUGACCAUUUUUGUGAAAACUGUUGUUCAGUACUUCUGAAAAGAUUUAAAGUUGUCUCGACAAAAAAAAGGCCAGGCAUAAGGGGGAAUUGGUAAAAGGUAAAUGAAGAUGAAUAAAGUAGCACUUUUUAAAAAAAAACUGUCCCUUCAAUACUGCAAAGGAAGAUUUUAAGGUUGUCUUGGCGAAACAGCUGGAAUACAUGGGCAAAGCAGUAAAAAGGUGACCAAAAUAGAUUUUUUUUUGCUUUUUUUUCAAAAAAAUUAUGCACAUGCAGAAUUUUAUGCUCCUUUUUUGAAAAGUAUGAGCUGAACUCGAUGGAGAUUGCCUACGUAUCUCACAUCCAGUGAGAAACAAACCCGUGUAGUUCGAUAAAAUUAGAUACUUUCCCCAUUUGUUCCUUUUUAAUGAAAAUUAAUCUUUACAACCCACACCAGACUACUACAAAAUCUUUUUUUAAAAGGUUUAUUUGCACUAAGCUAGGAGAAUUAUUCCUUUUUUUUUCAUUUUUUUUCAUUUUUAAUAAUUACACUAAUUCUUUUUUAAAGUCGGUCGAAAAUGUAAGUAAGCCUUCCAAGUAAUGUAUCAAGUAGCACAUAAGUGAACAUGAUGGUCUCAAAGAGGAUAUCUGUUUAUACAGACUCGGCCACUGUGCCGAGUUUCGCUAAGUCAAAUGCACGUAAAGCGAACCUACUAGGGAUAUCCGGAACGAGGUUUUUUCUUCUAGGUUUAAAUUCUGGCGGAGAAGGUAUCUAGACUGGCUUACUCGAGCGGACAACUCGAGCCGAGGAGGGUCGGUGUACCUGUAGCAUUGCAUUCCGGCUUAACUGGUAGUACUCCCUGCCUAAAGUAUAUGUGACUAAAAUUCUUCACCGGGUGACAAGCACCUCGGCUAUCUAAAAAAAAAGGCUAUGUCAAGCAAAUGCCCAAUUUAAUUUCAAGAAGACUCAAAGGGGGUGCGCUAGAAAAUAGUGUAUAUGUACAGUUCAACAAUAUCAAAACGGUAAGAAUCGAACAAGUAGCACAUUGCACAAAUAAAUCAUAAUAUAUAUGAAAUUAAUAAAGCCAAAUAAAAAGUUAACAUGUACAAGCUCGAAUUCUAGUUAUUCUCCAGCGGAGUCGCCAAAGCUAUCAAACCCCUUUUCUACCCCCACAAAAAAAAAUAGUUACGGAUUGUUGUCUUGAUUUGUGGGUUAAAGAGUUUUUCCAAUUAAAGUGACAAAUUUGAGUAGAGAUUAUUUUAUUUACAGAGUCGCCACUUGGAAUAGAUUUGGGUAUUCCAAGUCACCUUUUAUUUUGGUCCAUGUUUUGGGCCAAUUGUGCUUUAAAACCAACAAAAUCAAUCCAUAUAAACCCCAUCACUCAUUAUUUAAGAACUCUAAUUCUAAGAUCUACAAACACACAAAACAAAUCUAAAAAAAGGUAUAAUGUAGGAGAAAAGAAAAAAGUAAAAAUUAGGUAUUUACACCAUAUGACUUGGCACCACUUGGAAUUGAUAUUUUUGGUAUUCCAAGUCACCAUUCAUUUUAAUCCCUAUUCAAAGGAAGGUUUGACUAUUUUUUUAUCGGUCCGCGAAAAUAAAGUUCGGGUAAGGAAUUCUGUUGACCGAGAGCAAGUCAUUCUCCGAGUCCCGUGGUUCUAGCACGAUCGCUUUAUUGACUUAAAUUUGGCUUAAAUUAAUUUGGACAAACUGUAAUUUAUAUGAUUUUCAUAUUUUACCUAUCCGCUUUUAAUCUCUUGAUUGUUAGAAUUAUUAAAAAAUAUUUUGGUAAUAAGAUGUUAUAAUCACACUAUGCAGGCGAAUGCGUGAUCAAAACGAAAUUUAUUGAUUUAGUCAUAACAUCGCUAAGCGAAUCCAUAGACUUGACAAAGAAUUAUUAACACGUUAUUACAUUUAAGAGAAAGAAUUUUUUUUGUGAAAUUCAUUAAAUGUCAACUACCAUGUUAAUGCAAGCGAAUCCACGAUUAUAGCAAGGGAUUAAUUAAGAAUUAAUUAGUCUAUUGAGAUUAUUGAACUAAUUUAAUAAAGGUUAAAUAUCACGCUACACAAGUGAGUUCAUGAAUAAAAAGGGCUAAAGCGCAUCUACUACUUGCCCAACAUUUAAACUAAUUAUCAAAAAGACUAAGUUAUGAAGUUAUUUAAUUAUAAAAAAAAAAUUGAUUAUUAAUUGGCGAAAGAAACUAUGUACAUGAAAGUUAGGCCGUAGCUUGUGGUAAAUUUGGGCCAACUAGUGAACUAGAUUAUUAUUGUAUUAGCGGGCCAAAAUUCAUUAAAAAAAAGAAAAGAAAAUGUGGACUAUCAACUUUACUACACAAUUCUUUGGGUCCGGUAGAUUCUUCAAUUAUUCUCGUACCUAUACAGCCCAUUAACAAUUACAUAAUCUUUUACCAAAUCCUUCAAGCACAAACACGUCCAGUUAGAAAUUCAUGCCCAUUUCCUUACUUAACUCCACCAUUCUAAUAAUAUUUUAUUGUUUUGAUAAGUUAACAAGGAUUAAAGGGAAAAACUUCUCUAUUGUGGCAUUAUAAGAAAUGGAGGAGAUAAACAAAAAUUAAACUUAUCAAUUACUACCAAAGCAUAUGACAAACUAAAGAAAGUUCAUGGCCUCCACAUUGUAAUCCAAUAUAGCAAUGGAAGAACAUAAAAUAAAAACAACAACAAAUAAUGUAACUAACAUAGCAAAAGUUUUUUUUUAAAACAAAAGAUGCAUCCACAAUUUUAGUUGCAUCCGAAAAUCAGUUCUUUUAUUACUAUACGCAAUUCUCUACUUGCACAUGAACAUGGAUAACAACAAAAGGAUAAUCUUACUCUCCAUAUGCACGCGUCAUUGAAACACUCAUUUCUUCACUAAAUCACAACAAUCAUGCUCAAAUAAUAGAGGCCGGUUAGCACCUUCAACACUCGACAUCGAAAAUCUGCAUUACAAUAAAUUUAAAAGUUACAUGAAUAGCAGAAAAUCAAAAUACAACAAAGAUGGAACUCCGGAUGUUUAGUUGUAGAUUUUUCUCAAAGUUUUGUCUUUUUAUUAGAGUGUUAAGGAUGUUCAAGUUCUCUUUUUUUUUCUUCUUGUGUCUCCAGGAUGUUCAAAAACUAUCCCCCUUAAUUGAAAGAAAGAUCUCCUCUUUAUAUUAUAGGAGAUGAGGGACAGGAUUUCAUUAUGAAAAUCUGUUCUUUAGACAUAAUCUUUACCAAAAAUUUGUCUAAACUAUUCAAAGGAUAGAUUUUUGGUUAAAAAUCUGUCUAAGACACAACGUUUUUACCAAACAAUGACAUGCAUUUUGGAAAUUAGUACUCAAAAAGUCUUUGAACAGUAGAAAGUGAUCAAAUAUGUACCCUAUACUCAAGUAUUCAACCUUUGUUUUCAACACAUGACUAAAAUAUAGCUUAUAUACUCAAACUCAAACCAACUAUAAACUAGCAAAACAGAAACAAGACUUAAAAUGUAAUUGAACUAAAUAUUCAAAAAAACUAAAAUAAAGCCAAUCGAUUUAUGGGAACUAAACAGUAGAUAAUUGUAAUCAGGAAACACUACCUAAAAUACAACUUAAAUGAAUAUUGAUAAGCUAUCUAACAACGACUAUUAUUAACUUAAACAAUGACUAAUUAAACGACGAUUCAACGACAUUAAGAUCAAUUUGGUCGAUGAAAAAUUAAUAAACAACUAGGCUAAAUAUAAUCAUCAAUCACACUAUUGAUCAAAACGAACAAAACAAAAAGAAAAAAUUCAGAAACUAAAAGAAAAAUAAAAAGAGUUAGGGGUUGUACAAAACGAAACAAGCCGACUCUCCUCAAAUCUCAAGGGCAAUGUAAACCGCAACAAAUUAACCGCUCGAGCACUGGGAAAUACAACUUUCAGCAAAUCAUGCCAAAGAGAAAAUAGUGUUGGGAGGGGGUUAUAUUACACACAAAAGAAGAGUUUCAGGGGUCGUUUGGGUGGUGGAGCAGCGGUGGUUGGAUGUCGGCAGUGAGGGUGGUGACAGAACAGAUUUUGGGGGUUAAAUUAAAGGGAAAGUGUAGAUCUCCUAGAGAUAUACACGUAUAUAUGAGGCUUGUGAGGUGUGGAUAAUUGGUAUGUCACUAAUUUGAGGAAAAAAAGUAAAAAUAGGGGGGCUAGGGAUUCAGAUUUGGCUAGAUUUGUGGAAUUUGAUAAGGAUUUUGGAGAUUUGGGAUUUGGACAUGGAAAGAAGAGGAGGAGACAAAGAAAUGGUGAAAAAAUAGGGUCGAUUGGAGGCCGUUUGCCGGCAGUGGAGAUUUCCGGCCGACGGAAUAGGGGCGGCGGGUGACGGGUGGUUCUUGUGAGAGAGGAGAGAGUAAAUAGAGGAGUGAAAUAGAUAAUAGGGAAAAA